UAUCCCUGCCCUUGCAACUGAACAAGAAAGUGAGUUGUGUUGAGAAACAACUGUUCCCAAGGGAGUAACAGUUGCUGAUCUGCAUGAGGAAAAUCUGAGCCCCCACGGAAACUCUGUCUUUAUCUCUGGAUGCUGGCCUAACAUAACUCUGAUCCUGAGGGAAUGAUGCUCCUGAUGGUUUCAUCCACCAAAUUAGAUGGAUAAUUAAACAUCUCUGCUGAUCUUGAAAGCCCACAGAAUAAAAAAAUCCCAGAUUACAACGACACAGAAGUACAUCACUGAGAAGUGCAGGUUGAUGGCUAAAUUCUGUUCAGGUUUACCUGCUCCCAUGAGCUGGGCUGUGUCCUGCACCCUCCCUUGAAGAGUGAUUCACAAGAGUCCUCCGCUGACAUGAGUCCUCCCAACACAUCUUUGGAAAGGGAGGUAAGGUGUCAAGUCAAGACCUGAACCCUGGGCUGAAUCUGGACUGAAAGCUUCCACCAGGGAUCUGAAGAAACCCCAGCCUUGGGCAGCUGGAGGUAGGGGCUGUUGGGGAGAUGAGUUAUGCUUGGCCAAUUCAAGGAUCCCAAAAUCCCACUGGCAAGCUCUGCUGAGCAUCCCUGGGGUGACCUGAAUGUAUCACCCUGUUCCCAGCAAAACUCUGGAGACUCUCAGACUGGACAAAGUCACUAAAGCAGGAAUGUGCCACAGCAGGACCCUGUGUCCCCAUGAACCCACACCUGCAAACCCAGGGAUGGGUCAGCCCAGGCUCCCCACUAGUAUCUGGGAAACCUGAGCUCAGUCCAGCACCAGCCCAGAAGCUUGUCCAUCCUGAGCCUGCUCAGCAGUGGGACAUUUUCCUUCACAUAAGAAAACAUCUGCAGAAAACAGAGAAAUGAGAGCUUAUCUCCGAGAUAUGUUAUCUCCCUGUGCUGCUUUCAGCUCUGUGUUAUCACAGAGCUGCUGGGGGACUCUGACCUUUGUGGGAAAUGUUAAAUCAUUGUGGCUUCAUUUGGUUUAAUAUUCCUUAUUGAUUAAUUUCCAUCUCCCUGAAUGCAAGAGGAUUUGAGUGAGAGCCAGAGCUCAGCAGUACCCAGAGCUGUGGGUGGUGUUGAGAUUUCAAGACAGAGAGAAAAACCCGACAAACUAAAAUGCAGUGAAUGACUUUCAAAAACUAAAGACAAGGAAACUAAUAAUUUUCAGAAAGGAUGUUUUUCCUCACCUGGAGUAAAAUCCCACUGUAGUUUCCAUAAAGCUUUAACUCCCAGUGGCAGACAAAUAUCGAUGGUUUAUUUCAGCUCCAAACCAUGGAAUUCAUUUGUGGCAGCCACAGGGUUGUAAUGCAGGCCUGAUUUUUUUCAUUUGUUUUGCUGUAUUUGCUGUGCCCACCCAAGAGGAGGCUUGUGAGUGCACCAGCUGUGUUUCCUCACCAACAGUCCAGGGUGUCAAUGACACAAUGCUGUGCCCCUCACCACCCUCUCAUGAACAGGACUUUCAAUUCCAGCCUCCAGCAAGUAAGAGGAAGAGGUGCCUAUUCAGCUGCUGCCAGGGAAAAGGCUGAGAAAAGCAGGGUGCAGAGCUUGGGAGAAGUAUUUUGUCACUGAGUGGGGGUCAGUGAGGCUCUCAGGAGGAUGUCCUGUUUCUCCAGACCCGGAGCAUCCAUCCUCACAGAAAUCCACCCCAGUGCCAGACAUGCUGAAUGAAGCAGAGCCACUGAGCAAGGAGGGGACCCAUCCUUACAGUCUGGAAUUGCCUUGAGGCUCAUUUUGAGGAAUGGUAAGCAGUAAUCUCCUUCCUAAUAGAAUAGCCAGGAAUAGUGAUGUCUGGGCA
This is a long non-coding RNA of Apus apus (common swift), 1809 nucleotides long. RefSeq lists it as uncharacterized. The transcript is spliced from 3 exons. The record is from RefSeq and is a predicted model, not a curated record. Lineage: Eukaryota; Metazoa; Chordata; Aves; Apodiformes; Apodidae.